UACGGGAGGCAGCAGUGAUGGAUAUUCGUCAAUGGCGGCAACCGUGAACCAGCCAUGCCGCGUGCAGGAAGUCGGCCCUGUGGGUUGUAAGCUGCUUUUAUUCGGUAAUACACCUCUUUACGUGUAGAUAGCUGAAGGUACCGAAGGAAUAAGGAUCGGCUUACUCCGUGCCAGCAGCCGCGGUAAUACGGAGGAUCCAAGCGUUAUCCGGAUUUAUUGGGUUUAAAGGGUUCGUAGGCGGCCUGUUAAGUCAAGGGUGAAAGACGGUAGCUCAACUAUCGCAGUGCCCCUGAUACUGAUGGGCUGAAUCCCCUACCGCUAGGUUGGAAUGCGCCAAGCAGCGGUGAUAUCCCCCCCCAUGUCGCACAACAUCCCCCCCCAAGGCAGCUUC
RNAcentral lists this ribosomal RNA (391 nucleotides) under uncultured marine bacterium. RNAcentral's name for it is "partial 16S ribosomal RNA". It matches the Rfam family "Bacterial small subunit ribosomal RNA", at positions 340 to 729 of the family's 1533-position model. The record is from RNAcentral.